AUUGAACGCUGGCGGCAUGCCUUACACAUGCAAGUCGAACGGCAGCACGGGAGCAAUCCUGGUGGCGAGUGGCGAACGGGUGAGUAAAGUAUCGGAACGUGCCCAGUCGUGGGGGAUAACGUAGCGAAAGUUACGCUAAUACCGCAUACGAUCUAUGGAUGAAAGCGGGGGAUCGCAAGACCUCGCGCGAUUGGAGCGGCCGAUAUCAGAUUAGGUAGUUGGCGGGGUAAAGGCUCACCAAGCCGACGAUCUGUAGCUGGUCUGAGAGGACGACCAGCCACACUGGGACUGAGACACAGCCCAGACUCCUACGGGAGGCAGCAGUGGGGAAUUUUGGACAAUGGGCGAAAGCCUGAUCCAGCCAUGCCGCGUGCAGGAUGAAGGCCUUCGGGUUGUAAACUGCUUUUGUACGGAACGAAAAGGUUUGGCCUAAUAAGCUGAGCUCAUGACGGUACCGUAAGAAUAAGCACCGGCUAACUACGUGCCAGCAGCCGCAGUAA
RNAcentral lists this ribosomal RNA (500 nucleotides) under uncultured bacterium. RNAcentral describes it as "partial 16S ribosomal RNA". It matches the Rfam family "Bacterial small subunit ribosomal RNA", at positions 30 to 523 of the family's 1533-position model. The record is from RNAcentral.